This 200-nucleotide ribosomal RNA is filed under the name uncultured bacterium. Its description in RNAcentral is "partial 16S ribosomal RNA". It matches the Rfam family "Bacterial small subunit ribosomal RNA", at positions 29 to 258 of the family's 1533-position model. The record is from RNAcentral.
AGCGAACGCUGGCGGCAGGCCUAACACAUGCAAGUCGAACGAUCCUUCGGGAUAGUGGCGGACGGGUGAGUAACACGUGGGAACGUGCCCUUUGGUUCGGAACAACUCAGGGAAACUUGAGCUAAUACCGAAUGUGCCCUUCGGGGGAAAGAUUUAUCGCCAUUGGAGCGGCCCGCGUCUGAUUAGCUAGUUGGUGAGGU